AUUGAACGCUGGCGGCAUGCCUUACACAUGCAAGUCGAACGGUAACAGGUCUUCGGAUGCUGACGAGUGGCGAACGGGUGAGUAAUACAUCGGAACGUGCCUAGUAGUGGGGGAUAACUACUCGAAAGAGUGGCUAAUACCGCAUGAGAUCUACGGGUGAAAGCAGGGGAUCGCAAGACCUUGUGCUACUAGAGCGGCCGAUGGCAGAUUAGGCAGUUGGUGGGAUCAAAGCUUACCAAGCCGACGAUCUGUAGCUGGUCUGAGAGGACGAUCGGCCACACUGGGACUGAGACACGGCCCAGACUCCUACGGGAGGCAGCAGUGGGGAAUUUUGGACAAUGGGCGAAAGCCUGAUCCAGCAAUGCCGCGUGCAGGAUGAAGGCAUUCGGGUUGUAAACUGCUUUUGUACGGAACGAAAAGCCCCGGGUUAAUACCCUAGGGUCAUGACGGUACCGUAAGAAUAAGCACCGGCUAACUACGUGCCAGCCGCCGCCGUAA
This 498-nucleotide ribosomal RNA is filed under the name uncultured bacterium. Its description in RNAcentral is "partial 16S ribosomal RNA". It matches the Rfam family "Bacterial small subunit ribosomal RNA", at positions 30 to 523 of the family's 1533-position model. The record is from RNAcentral.